UCCUGAGUGGAGAGCAGAGAAUAGAAGCAGACAUCAGCUUCAGUGUGGAGAAUUAAAGUGAGGAACUCUCAACAGGUCACAUAACAGAAACAUAAGAUGGGUAUACUGAAAUAGAAAUGCAUGAAAUGAUGUCUCCUGAAAUGGGAUGCUUGGAAAGAAAAGCUAGACAGACCUCAGUCAUGCAGCAGACAAGAACGGGGUUGCCCAUUCUGAACAUUCUGAACACCCAUGGCAACAUUUAUCACAUUAUGCUCUAGCUAGAUGGUUCUGCCUCUACUACCGUAUGAGCUCCUGCUAUGGAGCACCAUGUCUUAUUCAGCCUUGUAAAUCCUCUGCACUGCACGAAAGCCCUGCUACACAGUAGAUAAUUCCCAGUAUUUGCUGAAUGACAAAAAUUGAUUUAUGACUAAAGAUGCAUGCUCACUUGGAAAGGAAAUAGGGAGAAAAGCAAGAAAAAAAUUAAGAAAAUUUACAUUUAUCAAGCGGCCAUAAUGUGUCAGAAGGAGAGUCAGAAAGUGAUGUUACAAAACAGUUGUCAAAGAAAGAGUUGAUCAACGAGUAUGGAAUCAACUAAGGUAGAAAAGAAGGUGUAUUGGGCAUUUUAUAAAUAACAAAUUGUUAUAUUUCUGGAUCUUUUUGAUGUUUGUAUUUGCCAG
RNAcentral lists this long non-coding RNA (656 nucleotides) under Homo sapiens (human). RNAcentral's name for it is "HSALNT0320752". Lineage: Eukaryota; Metazoa; Chordata; Mammalia; Primates; Hominidae. The record is from RNAcentral.